AUUGAACGCUGGCGGAAUGCUUUACACAUGCAAGUCGAACGGCAGCACGGACUUCGGUCUGGUGGCGAGUGGCGAACGGGUGAGUAAUGUAUCGGAACGUGCCCAGUCGUGGGGGAUAACGUAGUGAAAAUUACGCUAAUACCGCAUACGAUCUAUGGAUGAAAGCGGGGGAUCGCAAGACCUCGCGCGAUUGGAGCGGCCGAUAUCAGAUUAGGUAGUUGGUGGGGUAAAGGCCCACCAAGCCAACGAUCUGUAGCUGGUCUGAGAGGACGACCAGCCACACGGGAACGGAGACACGGUACAGACUCCUACGGGAGGCAGCAGUGGGGAAUUUUGGACAAUGGGCGAAAGCCUGAUCCAGCCAUUCCGCGUGCAGGAUGAAGGCCCUCGGGUUGUAAACUGCUUUUGUACAGAACGAAAAGGUUUCUACUAAUACUAGGAGCUCAUGACGGUACUGUAAGAAUAAGCACCGGCUAACUACGUGCCAGCCGCCGCGGUAA
This 500-nucleotide ribosomal RNA is filed under the name uncultured bacterium. RNAcentral's name for it is "partial 16S ribosomal RNA". It matches the Rfam family "Bacterial small subunit ribosomal RNA", at positions 30 to 523 of the family's 1533-position model. The record is from RNAcentral.